This 434-nucleotide unclassified non-coding RNA is filed under the name fungal sp. RNAcentral's name for it is "partial internal transcribed spacer region". The stretch from base 1 to 46 matches the Rfam family "Eukaryotic small subunit ribosomal RNA", at positions 1786 to 1831 of the family's 1831-position model. The record is from RNAcentral. Lineage: Eukaryota; Fungi.
AAGUCGUAACAAGGUUUCCGUAGGUGAACCUGCGGAAGGAUCAUUACAAAUCAUUGAGUAGGAGUGUUGUGCUGGCUGCGUGUGCUUGUCUGUGCGCGUGGCUGGCAUGAUGCAAAUAUUUGCACGAGACUGUUGUGUUGUGAGUUGGUGUUGGCUGGCUGAUUGGUGUGAGUGCGUGCGUGCGUGGCGUGGGGGUGUCGUGAGUGCGUGCAGUGCAGUGUGCCGCUUGCCAGGCUGGCUGGCGGUGCUUGUACAUGUGUGCAUACACACACACACACCACUACAAUGCACAACACACACACACAAGCAGCACAGCAGCAACAACACGCACACACACACACACAGUCUUGAUGUUUACGCUUGUUUGUUUGACAGAGUAAUAUGUAUGACGCAAAAUACCAUGACAACUUUUAACAAUGGAUCUCUUGGCUCUU